UACGUAGGCGGUUUAUUAAGUCAGAUGUGAAAGCCCCGGGCUUAACCUGGGAACUGCAUUUGAUACUGGUAAGCUAGAGUAUGGUAGAGGGGGGUAGAAUUCCUAGUGUAGCGGUGAAAUGCGUAGAUAUUAGGAGGAAUACCAGUGGCGAAGGCGGCCCCCUGGACCAAUACUGACGCUGAGGUACGAAAGCGUGGGUAGCGAACA
RNAcentral lists this ribosomal RNA (207 nucleotides) under uncultured bacterium. RNAcentral's name for it is "partial 16S ribosomal RNA". It matches the Rfam family "Bacterial small subunit ribosomal RNA", at positions 568 to 774 of the family's 1533-position model. The record is from RNAcentral.